Non-coding RNA from Carassius auratus (goldfish), 807 nucleotides. The record is from the annotation of a RefSeq genome assembly. NCBI's taxonomy places the organism in Eukaryota, Metazoa, Chordata, Actinopteri, Cypriniformes, Cyprinidae.
AUGACGCAACCCACUCAGGGCGGAGCUAAUCCGAAUGUACCGCAUCGUCAGCUCGAGGACAGGUCCGGGGACGAGGGCGAAGCAGAGGAGGUCGUGCAAGAGGCCUUGCAACUAGGGUCCGAGGAAGUAGAGGCCGAGGACGGGGUGGUCGAAGUGCAGGGCAAGGAGCACUUGAGUUCCCUCAGUUCUCACCAUCGCUGGAAAGCCACGCCGAUAUUAACUCGCAUUGUAUCACUGUGGUACACAUUCGGUGGAGGAACUAAACUGGUGCUCGCUGGUCCCACAGUGAAGCCCUCAGUGUCUCUGCUGCCACCCUCUUCUCUGCAGAUCUCUGGAGACUCAGCCGCACUGCUCUGCCUGCUCAGCUCUUACUCUCCACAGGGGGCGCUGGUGAGCUGGACACUGGACGGCUCAGAGGUCACCGAGGGGGUUGUGACCAGCGCAGAGAGUGAGCAGGACGGCCGCUACAGCCGCAGUAGUGUCCUGACCCUCAGCACAGCACGCUGGGAAGCGGGAGAGCAGUACGUCUGCAGAGUAACACAUGAUGGAGCUCCUCAUGAAGCCUCGUUCCACAAGAGUCGCUGUUAGUCGCUCGCAGUGCUGAUGUUUCUCCAGUGAGCGCUGCUCUCUCCUGAAGAUGAGAGUAUCUGAGUGUCCUGUGUCAGGCAGGAUUCACAUGAGUCUAGUGCUGCAGCUGUAGUCAUUUACAACUCAAUACUGAAAGAGAGCUCUAGUGUCAAAGCACUGGCUGAUCUUUCAAUCUGCUGUGUUUGCUGCAACAUUCAAUAAAGCUUCUCAACAAACUCC